AUGAUGUGAUUGCUUUUUCUCUUUUUUGGUUAGACAUUUCACCUAACGACUCUUUGAUUUCAUUAUAUGUAACUAACGCAUGUUGAUAUCUAUAUACUCUUUGCCUCUUUUUUUUUUCCCAAUGUCAAACUUACAUAUUCUUUUCGUGUGAAUCUUUUAUCUUUAUACUUGUCUCAAUCUUUUUUGUCAAUCACAUCAUCACACAAUAAUUUGAGUUUUUUUUUUGUUAAUGAAAAUUUCACAUGCCUUCAUCUUCUUUCCACCAAGUUCUUCAUUUGUCAUGACAUCUAAGUUCUUGUCAUUUGUCAUGCCUUCAUAUUCAACAGCUCCAAAGGUGGGGAUCGCGUCGUUGAACACUUUAAUCGCAUGUAUCUCGCUGGAAUGCAAAACGGCAUCAUACUGAUCGGUUAUGGAGUUAUACCGAUCGGUUCUCUAUUUGGUCUCAUACUUAUCGGUUGUUGUAAGUAAACCGAUCAGUAUCAAUCUCCGUUUCCAG
Long non-coding RNA from Arabidopsis thaliana (thale cress), 496 nucleotides. RefSeq annotates it as other RNA. Lineage: Eukaryota; Viridiplantae; Streptophyta; Magnoliopsida; Brassicales; Brassicaceae. The transcript has a single exon. The record is from RefSeq.